GACGAACGCUGGCGGCGUGCUUAACACAUGCAAGUCGAACGGAAAGGCCCUGCUUUUGUGGGGUGCUCGAGUGGCGAACGGGUGAGUAACACGUGAGUAACCUGCCCUUGACUUUGGGAUAACUUCAGGAAACUGGGGCUAAUACCGGAUAGGAGCUCCUGCUGCAUGGUGGGGGUUGGAAAGUUUCGGCGGUUGGGGAUGGACUCGCGGCUUAUCAGCUUGUUGGUGGGGUAGUGGCUUACCAAGGCUUUGACGGGUAGCCGGCCUGAGAGGGUGACCGGCCACAUUGGGACUGAGAUACGGCCCAGACUCCUACGGGAGGCAGCAGUGGGGAAUAUUGCACAAUGGGCGGAAGCCUGAUGCAGCAACGCCGCGUGCGGGAUGACGGCCUUCGGGUGGAAACCGCUUUCGCCUGUGACGAAGCGUGAGUGACGGUAAUGGGUAAAGAAGCACCGGCUAACUACGUG
RNAcentral lists this ribosomal RNA (467 nucleotides) under uncultured bacterium. Its description in RNAcentral is "partial 16S ribosomal RNA". It matches the Rfam family "Bacterial small subunit ribosomal RNA", at positions 28 to 507 of the family's 1533-position model. The record is from RNAcentral.